GAUGAAGAACGUAGUGAAAUGCGAUAAGUAAUGUGAAUUGCAGAAUUCAGUGAAUCAUCGAAUCUUUGAACGCACAUUGCGCCCCUUGGUAUUCCGAGGGGCAUGCCUGUUCGAGCGUCAUUAUAACCCCUCAAGCUCAGCUUGGUGUUGGGGCCUGCUGCACUGGCAGCCCUUAAAAUCAGUGGCGGCGCCAUCUGGCUCUAAGCGUAGUAAUUCUUCUCGCUAUGGAGUCCUGGUGGAUGCUUGCCAUCAACCCCUAAUUUUUCUAUGGUUGACCUCGGAUCAGGUAGGGAUACCCGCUGAACUUAAGCAUAUCAAUAAGCGGAGGA
Molecule: unclassified non-coding RNA, 329 nt
Filed under: soil metagenome
Description: partial contains 5.8S ribosomal RNA, internal transcribed spacer 2, and large subunit ribosomal RNA
Rfam family: 5.8S ribosomal RNA (bases 1-120)
Source: RNAcentral